Molecule: long non-coding RNA, 244 nt
Filed under: Elaeis guineensis (African oil palm)
Lineage: Eukaryota; Viridiplantae; Streptophyta; Magnoliopsida; Arecales; Arecaceae
Description: long non-coding RNA (EGUI_LNC026418)
Source: RNAcentral
ACAAUAUUUUAUUGGUACAAGAAAUACAUUCAAUUCACAAUGCUCCUAAGAAAAACUGUUUAACGGCUAUCAACGAUUGAUACGGAGAGGGCUUAUGAUGGAAUUUGAUGGGAUUAUAUUUGGGCAGUUCUUCAUCAAUUUAAUUUUCAUAACAAAUUUCUUUGUGGAUCGAGCUUGUGUUUCCAAUCCAAGGUUUGCUUUAUUAAUUAAUGGCUUAUUUACUAACCGGUUCAGUUCUACCAUA